This 70-nucleotide transfer RNA is filed under the name Marmota monax (woodchuck). RNAcentral's name for it is "tRNA.Ala". The record is from RNAcentral. Lineage: Eukaryota; Metazoa; Chordata; Mammalia; Rodentia; Sciuridae.
GCUGGGGCUCAGUGGUAGAGCGCUAGCCUAGCAUGUAUGAGGUGCUGGGUUUGAUUCUCAGUACCCAGAA